GACGAACGCUGGCGGCGUGCUUAACACAUGCAAGUCGAACGGAAAGGCCCUGAUUUUGUGGGGUGCUCGAGUGGUGAUCGGGUGCGUAACCCGUGAGUAACCUGCCCUUGACUUUGGGAUAACUUCAGGAAACUGGGGCUAAUACCGGAUAGGAGCUCCUGCUGAAUGGUGGGGGUUGGAACGUUUCGGCGGUUGGGGAUGGACUCGCGGCUUAUCAGCUUGCUGGUGGGGUUGUGGCUUACCAAGGCUUUGAGGGGUAGCCGGCCUGGGAGGGUGACCGGCCACAUUGGGACUGAGAUACGGCCCAGACUCCAACGGGAGGCAGCGGUGGAGAAUAGUGCACAGUGGGCGGAGGCCUGAUGCAGCAACGCCGCGUGCGGGAUGACGGCCUGCGGGUUGGAAACCGCUUUCGCCUGUGACGAGGCGUGAGUGACGGUAAUAGGUAAAGAAGCACCGGCUAACUACGUG
This 468-nucleotide ribosomal RNA is filed under the name uncultured bacterium. RNAcentral describes it as "partial 16S ribosomal RNA". It matches the Rfam family "Bacterial small subunit ribosomal RNA", at positions 28 to 507 of the family's 1533-position model. The record is from RNAcentral.